UACGAAGGGGGCUAGCGUUGCUCGGAAUCACUGGGCGUAAAGCGCACGUAGGCGGCUUCUUAAGUCAGGGGUGAAAUCCUGGAGCUCAACUCCAGAACUGCCUUUGAUACUGAGGAGCUUGAGUCCGGGAGAGGUGAGUGGAACUGCGAGUGUAGAGGUGAAAUUCGUAGAUAUUCGGAAGAACACCAGUGGCGAAGGCGACUUACUGGACGAUUGUUGACGCUGAGGUGCGAAAGCGUGGGGAGCAAACAGG
RNAcentral lists this ribosomal RNA (253 nucleotides) under uncultured bacterium. RNAcentral describes it as "partial 16S ribosomal RNA". It matches the Rfam family "Bacterial small subunit ribosomal RNA", at positions 524 to 776 of the family's 1533-position model. The record is from RNAcentral.